UGAGCUACAAGAAGAUCAACCUUAAAUCUCUCAAAUACAACCCUACAAAUAUAUACAAAGUGAAAAACAACUCAUGGAGUAUUGUGGGAAACAUAACAACAUAAGUUUCCUUCAGCAAUCCAAUGAGAUCUUUAGUGGCGUGGUAACCAAACUUGGCCAGGAGUGCAUGUCUAUUACUCCAAUAUUGUGCAUCCUUGAGGAGAUUGCGAAAUAAGGUGUGGUUAGGCUCAUGCAAAAGACUUUGCAGAAACAUUUCCUUCUGAUCGAGGAGGACUUCGAG
Molecule: long non-coding RNA, 280 nt
Filed under: Lathyrus oleraceus (garden pea)
Lineage: Eukaryota; Viridiplantae; Streptophyta; Magnoliopsida; Fabales; Fabaceae
Description: Pisum sativum (pea) long non-coding RNA (PSAT_LNC016367)
Source: RNAcentral